This 1457-nucleotide long non-coding RNA is filed under the name Homo sapiens (human). RNAcentral describes it as "long independently transcribed non-coding RNA 2669, transcript variant 2 (LINC02669)". The record is from RNAcentral. Lineage: Eukaryota; Metazoa; Chordata; Mammalia; Primates; Hominidae.
AUGUCACCUGAGAGUCAAUGGGCAACGAUCAAAUUUCACCUUGAGCAGAUUCUUUUGUUUGCUUUUUAGUCACAAAUAGCUUGGCCCUAAGUGGUGGCUCCCAUUCUUGUAAGAUGCGUUUAUUCAUCGUGUAAUCACCAGUUCCCUGUAGUGGGGGCGUGGAUGGAGUGUCAGAGGCUCCUGCUGGUCUUUAGGGUGUCUGGCCUCCAGGAAUCCUAGAGGUAGUAUUUGGAGAGAUUUUUAAAAGCUUUGUUUCUGUGACCAGCAAAACCUGGAUUUGACACUGAGGUCAGCCCGUUUCAGCCAGUGACGUAACCUGUCUUUUUGCCCCAGUAAAUUGGGAACUACAGCACUCGAUGUUAGAGUUGUCGUGAAGAUUAAAGAAGGUGACGACUGGACAACUCCCAGCCCAAUACCUGAAACUGUACCAGCACCCAGUGAGCACUGCUAUUCCUGUGACUGCUGCACAUUUGCCUUAUCUCAGCAGUAUGCCUGUGUCACUUUUUUGGCACUCUUUUCUCAUGGGUACAUUCAGAGAAGAGGAAUGUUUGUUCACUGGUGAAGAGAACAUCCCGUGUACUAUCGUGUAGAAGUUGUAGUAGACGCUGUGGUCUUUCCAACAACAAACAAAAAAAAGGAAAAAAAAAGUGAAUUUCUUGCCCAGAUCUGCAACAACUUCUAAGAUCUGACCUGUAGCCACCCACACCUGGAAGCUCCAGCCUUGCCUCUCCCCAGUUCACCCAGUAAGCGCUGGACACGGGGCUGAGCUGGGACUUCGAUGCUUACUCUGCCUGGAAACCUCCUUUCUCUCUCCCCACUUCUGAGGCUCCGCUCAGGUGCUGUUUUACCUGAAACCCUCCAGGCUGUUCUCUCUGGAAAUGCCUCUCUCUUCUGCCCUUUAUCUUCCACCUGAAUGGGAGGAUGUCUCAUUCCUAACACUCAGGACAGGUCUUCAUAGCGUUUAUCCUGCUUUGUCAUCUGCAUGCCCCACAGGGCUGAGAGCUCCAAGGAGCUGUGAAUCACACCUCCGACUCCCCCCAGGGUACAGGAACGGGGUUCAGAAUGCUCUUCCCAAAGCUGCUGGGACAGGACCCAGGAGGUUCCGGAGGAUCAGGAGGUCCACCUGGGAGAAGAGCUGAUCGGCUAGUAGGAGAGCUGGAAAAGCAACAGACACCUACUUAGUCCCUUCCCUGGGGCCCGGCUCCAGUCUGAGCUGUCACGCCACAGCAAAGGCAUCACUUCAGGACAGCAAAGCCCCUGUCUCCCUCCCUUCCAGCUCCUCAGACUUCACCCUGGUAACACGUUUGUUUAAAAAACAUAUUUUUCCCCCUUGUAAAGAAUCUAGGAUACAAGGGGUCAGCCCAGCAGUUUAGGUAUCAAGAAGAAACUGCUCUCGGAGCUAAAGUAAGAAACAGUGCCUGUCUAUAGCGCAAAUAAAGAGUUGGAACAAGAUAAAA